GAUGAACGCUGACAGAAUGCUUAACACAUGCAAGUCUACUUAAACUUCGGUUUGGGUGGCGGACGGGUGAGUAACGCGUAAAGAACUUGCCUCACAGUUAGGGACAACAUUUGGAAACGAAUGCUAAUACCUGAUAUUAUGAUUUUAGGGCAUCCUAAGAUUAUGAAAGCUAUAUGCGCUGCGAGAGAGCUUUGCGUCCCAUUAGCUAGUUGGAGAGGUAACGGCUCACCAAGGCGAUGAUGGGUAGCCGGCCUGAGAGGGUGAACGGCCACAAGGGGACUGAGACACGGCCCUUACUCCUACGGGAGGCAGCAGUGGGGAAUAUUGGACAAUGGACCAAAAGUCUGAUCCAGCAAUUCUGUGUGCACGAUGACGUUUUUCGGAAUGUAAAGUGCUUUCAGUUGGGAAGAAAAAAAUGACGGUACCAACAGAAGAAGUGACGGCUAAAUACGUGCCAGCAGCCGCGGUAAUACGUAUGUCACAAGCGUUAUCCGGAUUUAUUGGGCGUAAAGCGCGUCUAGGUGGUUAUGUAAGUCUGAUGUGAAAAUGCAGGGCUCAACUCUGUAUUGCGUUGGAAACUGCAUGACUAGAGUACUGGAGAGGUAAGCGGAACUACAAGUGUAGAGGUGAAAUUCGUAGAUAUUUGUAGGAAUGCCGAUGGGGAAGCCAGCUUACUGGACAGAUACUGACGCUAAAGCGCGAAAGCGUGGGUAGCAAACAGG
Molecule: ribosomal RNA, 722 nt
Filed under: uncultured Fusobacterium sp.
Lineage: Bacteria; Fusobacteriati; Fusobacteriota; Fusobacteriia; Fusobacteriales; Fusobacteriaceae
Description: bacterial SSU rRNA
Rfam family: Bacterial small subunit ribosomal RNA
Source: RNAcentral